RNAcentral lists this ribosomal RNA (998 nucleotides) under uncultured bacterium. Its description in RNAcentral is "bacterial SSU rRNA". It matches the Rfam family "Bacterial small subunit ribosomal RNA", at positions 8 to 1039 of the family's 1533-position model. The record is from RNAcentral.
AGAGUUUGAUCCUGGCUCAGAAUCAACGCUGGCGGCGCGCUUAACACAUGCAAGUCGCACGAGAAAGUGGAGCAAUCCAUGAGUACAGUGGCGUACGGGUGAGUAACACGUGGAUCAUCUACCUCUUAGUGGGGAAUAACCCUGGGAAACCGGGGCUAAUACCGCAUAAGCUCGAGAGAGGAAAGCAGCAAUGCGCUGAGAGAGGAGUCCGCGGCCGAUUAGCUAGUUGGCAGGGUAAAAGCCUACCAAGGCAAAGAUCGGUAGCCGGCCUGAGAGGGCACACGGCCACACUGGCACUGAAACACGGGCCAGACUCCUACGGGAGGCAGCAGUGGGGAAUCUUGCACAAUGGGGGAAACCCUGAUGCAGCGACGCCGCGUGAGCGAUGAAGCCCUUCGGGGUGUAAAGCUCUUUCGGCAGGGACGAUCAUGACGGUACCUGCAGAAGCAGCUGCGGCUAACUACGUGCCAGCAGCCGCGGUAAUACGUAGGCAGCGAGCGUUGUUCGGAGUUACUGGGCGUAAAGGGUGUGUAGGCGGUUGCUUAAGUUUGGUGUGAAAUCUCCCGGCUCAACUGGGAGGGUGCGCCGAAUACUGAGUGACUCGAGUGCGGGAGAGGAGAGUGGAAUUCCUGGUGUAGCGGUGAAAUGCGUAGAUAUCAGGAGGAACACCGGCGGUGUAGACGGCUCUCUGGACCGUAACUGACGCUGAGACACGAAAGCGUGGGUAGCAAACAGGAUUAGAUACCCUGGUAGUCCACGCCCUAAACGAUGCAUAUUUGGUGUGGGUCAUUCAGUUGAUCCGUGCCGGAGCUAACGCGUUAAAUAUGCCGCCUGGGGAGUACAGUCGCAAGGCUGAAACUCAAAGGAAUUGACGGGGGCCCGCACAAGCGGUGGAGCAUGUGGUUCAAUUCGACGCAACGCGAAGACCUUACCUGGGCUCGAACGGCUGGUUACCGGCGGUGGAAACAUCGCUACCCCGCAAGGGGUCCAGUCGAAGU